AGCGGCCGCCCCAGAUCUAGCCCAAAUCACCAUCUGCUCCAACCCUAGCCGCCGCCAACACGAGACGACGCCGAGCACCCACCACUGCCCGACCCCAGCCGCCCCUGACCACCCAUCGCAGCAGCUGUCCUCUCGGACCACCGCCGCCGCCGAGCACCCUCCUCCGUCGCCGUCAAGUACCCUCCUACGCAGAUCUCGUCCGCCCUCCGCCCAUCCCCAGCGCCGCCCAGAUGUCGCCUCUCCUUCCAUGCUUUCUCCCCGGGCAGCACCGUCUCUCCUAGGGUAUGCGCCACCGACCAUCAUGCUCUCCAGCCUAUCGUCCUUCGUCCGUGCUCCUCCGACCUCCCCCUUUUGUACUUCGAGCGCGAGAAUGAACCAUCUUUUGGUGGUGCUUGAGUCAUGGGCAUAGAUGCAUCUAACCAAAUAAUGCUUGCUUCUGGGAAGGCACCUAGUGUAGGUGGAGAACAUGUUCUAAGAAAGCGGCUCCAAAAAGAUUUUUCUGCUUCUGCUAUGGGACCUUGCAUGUGGGAUGAUGAGGGCAAUCAAAGCAGGUUUUCCUAAGAUACACAAGUUGAUGGAGGAUUGCAAGAUCUACAUACAAGCGGUUGACGGUUUGGAAGUUCUACAGCGGCUGAAGGUUUGGAGGACAUACAAUUAAGUUGGUGUAGUGAUAAUGUAGUGCACCUAGUUUGUUGAACCUGGAGACAUUGGCAAGUUCUGCUUAUUUUGGUGGUUGUUUUGGUACACAAGCCACUGGAUGCUCAUUUUGGUUGUGUGGCACAUCUAGAAACAUACGUACUAUUUUGUGCCAGCACAAGUCCUUAUGUAUGGUUGUUUCCUAUAUGUAUGUAUCCAGAAACAUAUGUAUCUGGCAUGUUAUGUUUAUAUUGAAGGAAAUUUAAGGUUUUUGAUGAGGCC
RNAcentral lists this ribosomal RNA (918 nucleotides) under Triticum aestivum (bread wheat). RNAcentral describes it as "partial small subunit ribosomal RNA". Lineage: Eukaryota; Viridiplantae; Streptophyta; Magnoliopsida; Poales; Poaceae. The record is from RNAcentral.